Molecule: ribosomal RNA, 442 nt
Filed under: uncultured bacterium
Lineage: Bacteria
Description: partial 16S ribosomal RNA
Rfam family: Bacterial small subunit ribosomal RNA
Source: RNAcentral
CCUACGGGGGGCAGCAGUGGGGAAUAUUGGGCAAUGGGCGCAAGCCUGACCCAGCAACGCCGCGUGAAGGAAGACGGCCUUCGGGUUGUAAACUUCUUUUGACAGGGAAGAGCAGAAGACGGUACCUGCCGAUUAAGCUACGGCUAACUACGUGCCAGCAGCCGCGGGAAUACGUAGGUCGCCAGCGUUGUCCGGAUUUACUGGGUGUAAAGGGAGUGUAGCCGGGCUGACAAGUCAGAUGUGAAAUCCGGGGGCUCAACCGCCGAACUGCAUUUGAAACUGUUGGUCUUGAGUAUCGGAGAGGCAGGCGGAAUUCGUGGUGUAGCGGUGAAAUGCGUAGAUAUUAGGAGGAACACCAGUGGCGAAGGCAGCCUGCUAAACGGCAACUGACAGUGAGGCGCGAAAGCGUGGGUAGCAAACAGGAUUAGAUACCCUUGUAGUC